GAAGAGGCAAUGGACAGGUUAUCCAGUGCUGCCCAUCCAUAAUUGAGAGCCAGGGGCUGGACGAAGAAGAGGAAGAGGAAGGUGAGCUGGAGUCUUUGUCUCCGGAAUCGGAGCGGAACAGCAUCCUGUACCCCAGUGAGGUGUUGUCUUCUGGUAGGUGUCCACCGGGUGGAGUCGGCAUGGAGAGAGAGUUUCAAAGCAGCAAAAAAGUUAUACAUCAAACCAGUGGGAAACCCAGGAAGAAGAUCAAGAUCCAGCAGACAUCUCUCACCACCCUAGACCCCUCCAACCUCAGCCCCAGGAUUGUGGACGGCACAGAGGACUGUGAAGAUACAGAGACGUCUCCACUGUUUUCCUUCUCACCCAGUCGAGGGUGUCCAGUCAGCACCCCGGGCAGCAUCCCAGCCACAGAUACAGAUUUGAUCCAGAUCAGCAGGGCAGAGUUAACAGCUAAAACUGAGGAGACCAGAGAAAAACUACAACACCUUGACAAAGAGGUGAGUUCUCUGGGAAAGGAGGUGUCAGAGAUGGGCCGACUCAUGAGGAAUAUGGCUCACCUGAUGGAGUCCCUCAUAUCCGGACACCACCCCCAGACCCUGUAUUCUGCACACCGCGUACCCGACCACCCAGCCUGCCUUUCCCAGCCGAUGCCCUCGCCCCACCAGUCCGCCCACCCUCAGACCGGACCUCUCUGGGCCGACAUGUCCCUCACCACCCCUUCAACUCGCACUCCUCCGCCGCACGUUAGCCUGGCCCAGCGGCAUCCUGGGACUUUAUUCCACGUGGACCCUGCCGUCGCCACCGGUACACUCAGACCCCAAGACCAUCACCCGGUCUACCCCUCCUGCCGCGGGCCGGACACUUCCCCCGUCUCCUCCCCCUGCCCUUCCUCCUGCUGCCCUGCGGACGUGUCCACGAUGCCCCCGCCGCCCCCCUCGCCCCUCAUCUCGCCCGGGACGCCCCCCCACCAGGGAGGAGGGGGACACCCCGGGUCUACCAGGUUACGGGCACACAGUUUGGAGACCCCCCCACAGCGGCUGCAUGACGUUGGGGGGACCAUAGAAGUACCCCUAUAUAUCUCUGGGAGCCUGCCCCGCACAGGACGGAGCAACCAGCACAUGGAUCUGUAGCGGAAUGAAGUGGGCUCUCACUUAGAGACUGGACUAAAGACAUACAGGAAUACUGAACUAAAGGGGUUCUGGACUUUGACAUGGUCUCUAUAUCAGGGGUAUACACUUAUGAUGAUAUCCUUGCAUUUUUUCUAUCUCCGUUUCUAAGGCACGUUUUUUUCUUUUUAAAUAGCAUGACAAAAAGCAGAGGGGCAGUAAGUGUCCUAGAGGUAACGACACGUUGUUUAGACGUUAGCAGACGUUCCUGUAGUGUUGUAGAGGGGUAUAGAAGCAUAAAGGCUGCUGUGACUUUGUCUUUAAGUCUCUGGAGAAGACCCUGGGGGUCUGGAGGAGAGGAGAACAGCAGGGCUACACAGGGA
Molecule: long non-coding RNA, 1489 nt
Organism: Esox lucius (northern pike)
Lineage: Eukaryota; Metazoa; Chordata; Actinopteri; Esociformes; Esocidae
Source: Ensembl